Molecule: non-coding RNA, 3391 nt
Organism: Macaca mulatta (Rhesus monkey)
Lineage: Eukaryota; Metazoa; Chordata; Mammalia; Primates; Cercopithecidae
Source: RefSeq, a predicted model, not a curated record
GCCGCUUCCGCAGCACACCGCCAAUCAGCGCUCCAGGGCCUCGCGUGGGUAGGGGGAGGAGGGAUUCCCUUCUUGCCCUUUGCCCCUUGCCCUCUGCCCCUUGCCCUUCGCCUCUCCUUUGGCACGCGAUGAGACACGCCCCUCCACUGGCGGGACUGCGCGGAGCCCUAGCUCCUCGGCUUCAAGUCGGGGCUGAGGGUGUCCCCUCCCGCCUCCCUCAGGGGCCCUCGCGCGGGUGCCCCCAGGUUCCACCCCUCCCUUUGGUGUCAGGGCCGGAACCUGGAGAGGUCUUGAGGGAAGCCUGGGCGCGGCCUCGGGGGGCUGCGGCGCGGGUCUGAGGUAAAUGGUUCCAGCAGCAACCACCGGGCAGGUCUCCUCCGGACCGCGACCUCCAGUCCGAAGCACAGGGCAGCCGGCUGGGCCAGCCUCCCGCACAGGACGACGGAGGAAGAUUUGUCACUCCAAGAGAUGGCCCUGGGACUGAGAAGUGGAUGGCAGCCGUGACAGCGGGAGAGGACUGUCUGAGGCUCCCGGGCAGAGGCUCUGGUGCCAGGUUUAGCAGCAGGACCGACAGCAGACCCAGCAGCCAGGGAGUGAAAGGUGGGUAAAUUGAGGCCCGAGGAGAGGAAUGGACUUGCUGUGGACAUUCCAAGAGCCCAGAGGCAACUCAGGACAAGACCAAAGCCUGGGCACCAACAGCCUUUGCACAGAUGUAACCCUGGCCCUGCUCACCGGAGCGGAAUGCGGAUGGCGAUGUAGCGGUCAAUGGCGAUGGCCAGGAGGCUGAAGAUGGAGCUCUGCGUGAGGACCAGGACAAAGCAGGCAAUGAAGAGGCAGCCGUGGCAGGCAGCACAGAACCCGGUGCUGAUGGCCAGCUUCUCAGCCCCCUUGGCCCACUCCAUCCCGUCAGCUCUCCCAGGAACUACCAGCACCCACCUAAGGGACACCAGCCGCCCUAUGAAAGGACAGGCCAGAGACCCCUGGAGCUCGGAUGUGGAAGGAUGUGGGGAGCCGCCUGGUCCUUUCUCCCACUGCCGCAGAGGGACAUGAGGGACGGAGCAGGAUUGGCAACCUGGAGAGAAAGUCAGUCCUGGUCCUGAGCCCUGUUCAAAGGGUCAGGCUCCCCUCUACCCCACUGUCCAUGUGACGGAGCUCAAACAGACCCCAACUUUCCCUCCAACUCCAAUGCUGUCAGCACCUCAAGUGGCUGGAACAGGAUUGGCACAGGCUGCAGCCAUACCUGGGACUGGAGGUUCUCCUGCACCCAACAGGCCCUUUUGCGUCUACUAGGAGGCUUGGAAUGGAGCAUUGACACAGAAGCAGGAGGAGGAAGGAGAGAGCAGAGACCAGAGACCCUGCAAAAAUGGAGGGCCUGCAGCAGCUGGAGAGGGCUGAGUCCUCCCAAGCCCCUGCUUUCCAUGGGGCACUUGCCAGGCAGCCACUCACAAAGCAUGUCGCUGGCAGGGAUGCGCCAGACCAGGUCUCCUGGCACCAUCUCUGGCCACACUCAAGGAACACAGUUAUCCCUGAUGUUCCUGGCCUCUCUCCCUGAGCAGUAGUCACCAGGGCCCACCUGACUCAUGAUAGCUCCUGCCCAAUGGGUACAAGUGGAGCUGGUGCUGGGCCUGGGCUGCCUCCCACCCAGGUGCCUGGCCUGUGGUUCCAAGGUGGCCUCCCAGGCCCAGCACCACCAGCAGCAGCAACAGGCCACUGUCCAGUGAGGCCCCGUGGGUCACUGAGGAGCCGCCUCUACCCAGGGAUCCUGCGUCCCACCACGGCCCUCUCUAGGGCAUCUGCAUUGAAGGAUGCCACAACCUUCUGCCAAUCUGACCAUCCCAGGCGAGAAAGCUGAUGCAGCCCCAGAUCACACUCCAGAUUCAAGGGCCUUGCUGGGGGCAGACAAGGUGGAACAUAACAUGUCUGCCCAGGUGAGGGAGGACUCCCCAGUCCCACCACUCAGAGCCCUGCUGGUGGGGUCACAUCAUCAGCACCUGCCUCAGGGGCUGGACUGGUGCCAUGCCAGCCGGGAUGCCUGGUUUAGGAGGAGCCUGACUGGGGCCUCUGUUUGGCAAGGCUUCCCUGGCAGCUGUGGGUACCUGCCUGUGUACCCCCAUUCUCAGGGUCUUCGCACCUUCUGUGCUGUGGGUCCCCACGCUAAACAGCAUUAGAUACUGAUAACCUUCUUGACUACACUGAAGCCAACUUCCUGCUGCCCACCAGCCUCAAUGAGGGCAACAGACCCCUUUGCCCUGGCCGGCCUCGCACGGGGCUAAAGACACCCAUGGCUCCUGCCGGCAGGGUCCACACAGGCCACCUCGCUGCCCGUCCCCUCCCUCGGCCCCUCCUGAAGCACUCCUGCAGGCUCUCCCAGCUGCUGCCAGCACAUCCCGGGUGAGGCUUGCCCGGACCCACAGGCAACUUGGGCCCCUGCCAAGCCAGAAUCCACUCUCAGCUGUGCCUUUCUCAGCCCCGAGCAAAGCAGAUCGGUGGAGUCAGAGGCACCCUCGGGGCAGGCAGGGGAGGAGUGCGUUCCUCGGGGAAAGGCUGGGAACUACCAUAGGCUGGCAAAUCGGCCCCGGGCCGGGGCGCCCUGACUUACAGGCUUUGCCUGAUUUCUGUGGUGUAAAUUCUCCCCUUGUGCCCAGUUUCAAGCUACUAAUGUGUCGUGGACCAGAACUGGGGAGCAACAGAGUCAGCUGGCCACGAUGCCAGCCACUGCUGAGCUGCCAAACUUUAUGCAUCCCAGGAGGCACCUGCCUAGAGGUCACGCACUGCACUGGACCCUCAGACACAGCUUGUGCAGCCGCUUAGGAGCUUGGGAAAUGACUGUCAUCUGUGAUCUUGCUGGUCCCAGGAAACCCAUUUUACAGAUGAGGAAACUGAGGCCCAAAGGCAUGAAGCGACCUCUCUCAGCCUUACCAAGAGCACUGGAAGGUGGCGUAGGGCUGGGGCUGUACCCAUAGAGAGCACAGCAGCAGGAAGCCUCCUGGGCCUCCAGCUCCCCUCCCUCAGAAGCCUCCCAGAGUGACAGGAAGGUCGGAGGCCCCAGGGAGGGGAUGGGGCCAGGAUCUGGCAAUUUCCUAUCCCUCUCUGUUGGCUCUGUGCAUCUAAUUAAUCCUUCAGUCAUCUGUUGCUAACCAGGAGGGGAAAUUAAAUACUAAUAAUGUAAUACUUCUCUGUGAUUGCCCCUUGUUGGGGACAGAUCAGAGGGCAGAUGCUGCCCCAUAUAGACAGGGGACACAUGCUGUGGAACGUGCAUAAUGCCUCUUGAAAGAACAACCUUAUAGGAUUCCACGUGGUCAGACUCAAAACUGCUACUUGUUCCUGCCUUCCUCCUCACCUUCCCCAACCCGGCCACUUUAAUUAAAACUCCAUUUAAUCAAAACCCACA